GACGAACGCUGGCGGCGUGCUUAACACAUGCAAGUCGAACGGAAAGGCCCUGCUUUUGUGGCUUGCUCGAGUGGCGAACGUGUGAGUUACACGUGAGUAACCUGCCCUUGACUUUGUGAUAACUUCAGGAAACUGGUGCUACUACCUGCUAUGUGCUCCUGCUGCAUGGUGGGGUUUGGAAAGUUUCGUCGGUUGGGGAUGGACUCGCGGCUUAUCAGCUUGUUGGUGGGGUAGUGGCUUACCAAGGCUUUGAAGGAUAGCCGGCCUGAGAGGGUGACCGGCCACAUUGGGACUGAGAGACGGACCAGACUGGUACGGGAGGCAGCAGUGGGGAAUAUUGCACAAUGAGCGGAAGCCUGAGGCAGAAACGCCGCGUGCGGGAAGACGGCCUUCGGGUUGUAAACCGCGUUCGCCUGUGACGAAGCGUGAGUGACGGUAAUGGGUAAAGAAGCACCGGCUAACUACGUG
RNAcentral lists this ribosomal RNA (468 nucleotides) under uncultured bacterium. Its description in RNAcentral is "partial 16S ribosomal RNA". It matches the Rfam family "Bacterial small subunit ribosomal RNA", at positions 28 to 507 of the family's 1533-position model. The record is from RNAcentral.